GACGAACGCUGGCGGCGUGCUUAACACAUGCAAGUCGAACGGUAAGGCCCUUCGGGGUACACGAGUGGCGAACGGGUGAGUAACACGUGGGUGAUCUGCCCUGCACUUCGGGAUAAGACUGGGAAACUGGGUCUAAUACCGGUUAGGACCACUGCCUGCAUGGGUGGUGGUGGAAAGCUUUUGCGGUGUGGGAGGGGCCCGCGGCCUAUCAGGUUGUUGGUGGGGGGAUGGCCUACCAAGGCGACGACGGGUAGCCGGCCUGAGAGGGUGACCGGCCACACUGGGACUGAGAUACGGCCCAGACUCCUACGGGAGGCAGCAGUGGGGAAUAUUGCACAAUGGGCGCAAGCCUGAUGCAGCGACGCCGCGUGAGGGAUGACGGCCUUCGGGUUGUAAACCUCUUUCAGCACCGACGAAGCGCAAGUGACGGUAGGUGCAGAAGAAGGACCGGCCAACUACGUGCCAGCCGCCGCGGUAA
RNAcentral lists this ribosomal RNA (478 nucleotides) under uncultured bacterium. RNAcentral's name for it is "partial 16S ribosomal RNA". It matches the Rfam family "Bacterial small subunit ribosomal RNA", at positions 28 to 523 of the family's 1533-position model. The record is from RNAcentral.